CUUAUGCAUGCAAGUCGAGCGAAGCUUUUCAGUAGUUUACUACAGAAAAUGACUGAGCGGCGAACGGGUGAGUAACGCGUGAGCAACCUACCUUAGUUACUGGGAUAGCCCGAGGAAACUCGGAUUAAUACCGGAUAUUCUUAUUUAAUCACAUGAUUUUUUAAGGAAAGGUCAGCCGAACUAAGAUGGCUCGCGUUCUAUCAGCUAGUUGGUAGGGUAAUGGCCUACCAAGGCUACGACGGAUAGCUGGUCUGAGAGGACGAUCAGCCACACUGGGACUGAGACACGGCCCAGACUCCUACGGGAGGCUGCAGCAGGGAAUAUUGCGCAAUGAGCGAAAGCUUGACGCAGCGACACCGCGUGUGGGAUGACGGAUCUAGGUUUGUAAACCACUUUCAGGAGGGAAGAAAAUGACGGUACCUCCACAAGAAGCCCCGGCCAACUACGUGCCAGCAGCCGCGGUAAUACGUAGGGGGCGAGCGUUGUCCGGAUUUAUUGGGCGUAAAGAGCUCGUAGGCGGUUCAACAAGUCGGUCGUGAAAGUUCAGGGCUCAACCCUGAAAUGUCGAUCGAUACUGUUGUGACUAGGAUACGGUAGAGGUGAGUGGAAUUCCGAGUGUAGCGGUGAAAUGCGUAGAUAUUCGGAGGAACACCAAUUGCGAAGGCAGCUCACUGGGCCGCUAUCGACGCUGAGGAGCGAAAGCUAGGGGAGCAAACAGGAUUAGAUACCCUGGUAGUCCUAGCUGUAAACGAUGGAUACUAGACGUAGGAAUUGGUUUAACGAUUUCUGUGUCGUAGCUAACGCGUUAAGUAUCCCGCCUGGGGAGUACGGUCGCAAGACUAAAACUCAAAGGAAUUGACGGGACCCCGCACAAGCGGCGGAGCAUGCGGCUUAAUUCGAUGAUACCCGUAGAACCUUACCUGGACUUGACAUAU
Molecule: ribosomal RNA, 935 nt
Filed under: uncultured marine bacterium
Lineage: Bacteria
Description: bacterial SSU rRNA
Rfam family: Bacterial small subunit ribosomal RNA
Source: RNAcentral